AGAAACUUAGGAUUAUCCACAAACCGAAGGCCUUCAAAGCCUUAGAUAAGAGUUAGACCCUCUUAGUUUCUG
RNAcentral lists this transfer RNA (72 nucleotides) under Rhegmatorhina hoffmannsi (white-breasted antbird). RNAcentral's name for it is "tRNA-Trp". It matches the Rfam family "tRNA". Rfam says of the family: Transfer RNA (tRNA) molecules are approximately 80 nucleotides in length. Lineage: Eukaryota; Metazoa; Chordata; Aves; Passeriformes; Thamnophilidae. The record is from RNAcentral.